UUAAACUUGUCUCUACCCUUUUUGUCGCUCUGACGCGCCCUUACAGCCAAACCUACGUACUCCACCCCAGCUCCUAAGGCACCGGAUAUACACAGUGAUCUAAGGAGAGGGUCGCUUUGGAAAGAAAAGGCAUUGACUGCCCAAGGGCAGGAGGGAGGUCUGAUGCGGUCUCCUUUCCUUUACCUUAUUCUUUGCGCCUGAAGUUUCUACUUUGGAGCUUCAGAAACUAUUUUCCUUCUCCUCUAUCAAUCUAAAGUCUGUUAUAUAGGAGCAGUGCCCCCAAGUCCACCUCAGCACCGCCACCGUCAUCACAAGCACAGCCAUCAGGAUUGGGCACAACCUGCCCUAAUUUGGAUCGCCGUUUAUUUUUACUGUUGUUUUGGCAGGGUGGGGAUUGCUUUACAUUCGCUGGAGAUGAAUUAUAAUUCUCCCCUCCAACCAGGGUGGGCUUCAUGGGUGUGCGACUAUGCAGUUGUAUAGGCCACAGCUCAUAAGACCCGUGUUUGGUUUAAUAUUCUGGGACAAUAGUCUACUGUCGCUGUUUUGUUCUUCUUCAUAAUUUUUAAUCAAGGAGUCUCACAUUUGUAUUUUGCAAUGGGCCACGCAGAUAAUGUAGUCAGCUUUGCCUCUCUCUUCGCCACUUCCCUAGACUUUCCCCUUCCUCUGCAAUGUUCAUCUAUAAUUGUUCAUCAGACCAGGCUAAAUAAGGAUAAUGGCACAAAAGAAAAAUAAGACCCAAAUGGAGACAUCAACCACAGACACCUGGCAAAAAAUCUUCUGCUAAAACCUGAUUUUGUGACAAAAUGCUGCCUUAUCUUGCUGAUGAUUUCAUGGACAAUAAAAGGAAAGAAGGUAAACUUGUUAACCUAAUUUUUCACCAAGAAGAAAAACUAAUUUGUUCUUUAAGAAACCAAAUUUCGGCCGGGCGCAGUGGCUCAUGCCUAUAAUCCUAGCACUUUGGGAGGCGGAGGCAGGUGGAUCACAAAGUCAGGAGUUUGAGACCAACCUGGCCAACGUGGUGAAACCCUGACUCUAAUAAAAAUACAAAAAAUUAGCCGGGCGUGGUGUCAGGCACCAGUAAUCCCAGCUACUUGGGAGGCUGAGGCAGGAGAAUC
This 1115-nucleotide long non-coding RNA is filed under the name Homo sapiens (human). RNAcentral describes it as "novel transcript, antisense to PRKD1". Lineage: Eukaryota; Metazoa; Chordata; Mammalia; Primates; Hominidae. The record is from RNAcentral.